This 73-nucleotide transfer RNA is filed under the name Myxococcales bacterium. Its description in RNAcentral is "tRNA-Val". It matches the Rfam family "tRNA". Rfam says of the family: Transfer RNA (tRNA) molecules are approximately 80 nucleotides in length. Lineage: Bacteria; Pseudomonadati; Myxococcota; Myxococcia; Myxococcales. The record is from RNAcentral.
GGGCGAAUAGCUCAGCCGGCAGAGCGCCCGUCUUACAAGCGGGAGGUCACAGGUUCGAACCCUGUUUCGCCCA